This 496-nucleotide ribosomal RNA is filed under the name uncultured bacterium. Its description in RNAcentral is "partial 16S ribosomal RNA". It matches the Rfam family "Bacterial small subunit ribosomal RNA", at positions 29 to 507 of the family's 1533-position model. The record is from RNAcentral.
AUGAACGCUGGCGGCGUGCCUAAUACAUGCAAGUCGAGCGAACGGACGAGAAGCUUGCUUCUCUGAUGUUAGCGGCGGACGGGUGAGUAACACGUGGAUAACCUACCUAUAAGACUGGGAUAACUUCGGGAAACCGGAGAUAAUACCGGAUAAUAUUUUGAACCGCAUGGUUCAAAAGUGAAAGACGGUCUUGCUGUCACUUAUAGCUGGAUCCGCGCUGCAUUAGCUAGUUGGUAAGGUAACGGCUUACCAAGGCAACGAUGCAUAGCCGACCUGAGAGGGUGAUCAGCCACACUGGAACUGAGACACGGUCCAGACUCCUACGGGAGGCAGCAGUAGGGAAUCUUCCGCAAUGGGCGAAAGCCUGACGGAGCAACGCCGCGUGAGUGAUGAAGGUCUUCGGAUCGUAAAACUCUGUUAUUAGGGAAGAACAUAUGUGUAAGUAACUGUGCACAUCUUGACGGUACCUAAUCAGAAAGCCACGGCUAACUACGUG